RNAcentral lists this long non-coding RNA (638 nucleotides) under Fukomys damarensis (Damara mole-rat). RNAcentral describes it as "lncRNA (ENSFDAG00000029510.1)". Lineage: Eukaryota; Metazoa; Chordata; Mammalia; Rodentia; Bathyergidae. The record is from RNAcentral.
CCAAAAUCUGUAACUCACUGCAUGGCCCUGGAGCUGAUAGAGAAGUUCUGACCCAACAACUCCAUGAUCUCUUUCCAAGCCAGAGGAGUGAACAUGGAGACUUUCCGCUGCUUAUCCAGUUUUUCUCCUAAGUGGUACAGCCCACAGGCUGUGCUCAUGAUUUUGUAAGAAGAGGCCCCAGCCCAUGAAAGUUCACCCUAACUGAUGCCUUUUUGAGAAAACAAACAGGAUAAGUGGCAGGGCUAUCUAAGUCAUAGCUGGGCCAUUGUGUGCCCGUGCCAAUGCCAGUGCCCGAGACUCGGGUUUGAAUCGAUAUCCUGUGAGAAGCCAUCCCUGUCCCUGGAAUUUCCUCCUGGGUCAUGCCCUGCCCCACACCUGGAGAGCCUGCCAGGAACCUUUAGAAGCCCAGAUCAAGCUGGCUCCAGUGCUCUCACCUGGACCGGAAAAGAACUGGUGAGUCAGCAAACUUCAUCAGCAAGAUUGGGCCCAGGCCAGAGAGGGCCUUGAGGACGGCCACAAGGAGCGGAGGGUGGAAGCAACAGCAGCAGCACGUUUGGAAAGAAAGGCGAAGACAGAACUAAAUGCCAGGUACGAGACUAGAGGGUUUUCUGAUGCGGCCUCAUAUAAUACUUUGGUCA